This 301-nucleotide ribosomal RNA is filed under the name uncultured bacterium. Its description in RNAcentral is "partial 16S ribosomal RNA". It matches the Rfam family "Bacterial small subunit ribosomal RNA", at positions 509 to 807 of the family's 1533-position model. The record is from RNAcentral.
CAGCCGCCGCGGUAACACGGAGGGUGCAAGCGUUAAUCGGAAUUACUGGGCGUAAAGCGCACGCAGGCGGUCUGUCAAGUCAGAUGUGAAAUCCCCGGGCUUAACCUGGGAACUGCAUCCAAAACUGGCAAGCUAGAGUACGGUAGAGGGUGGUGGAAUUUCCUGUGUAGCGGUGAAAUGCGUAGAUAUAGGAAGGAACACCAGUGGCGAAGGCGACCACCUGGACUGAUACUGACACUGAGGUGCGAAAGCGUGGGGAGCAAACAGGAUUAGAUACCCCUGUAGUCCCUGUCUCUUAUAC